AGACAGGAGACUGUGUGUCGGCUUGUUUUUCGCUAGCGCCGGAGGCUAACUAGCUCGCUAACAAGCAAGCUAACAAUAUCUUCGCAUGGGUGCAGUAACUCUUCUUCGAUUCGAUUGGGCUUAUUACCGACAAACACCGACAUGAAACGACAUGAGCGGGUCCACCCAGCAGAUAUAAGCGUUACUUUAUGCGGAUGACUCUGAGACAGGAGACUGUGUGUCGGCUUGUAAGUUAGUUUCGCUAGCGGGCUAGCGAUGCUAACUGAAACCUGAGAAACCUGAGUGUUUAAAGUCACAUCUGCAUUGCAAGAGCAGCUGUUCAAAGGAGCAUUACGUGUCCUAAAGCUCUUUCUUCAGAGUAGUGUUGUAACGUGUUACAGUGAAAAGUAACCGUGUCUCCCACCUUCAGUAUUUAAAUCGUUAAUCUCAGACAGACUUCACUGAAUUCUUUUGUUAAAUAUGAGUAAAUCAUAGCCUUGUAACUUUACUAGAACAGACAGUGUCAUACAGAAUUGUAGGCUAAUAUGCACUACCUAUUUCCUAAGCUGAAAUGAUUAUGAUCUGAUUAACUUUGAAUUAAUAUUUUAUUAUUACCAUGUAAAAGUCUGUUAAGCAGAUAACAUGGCACAUGUAUGACUUAACAUAUCUGUGUAUUUGUGUUCAAUGUUCCUCUAGGAUGUCCAGCGUGAGACACAACUUGAAUCCAACCAGACUGAACACUGACUCCAGGGACAGACGAGCCUGAAGGACACAGCUGUGAUGACCAUGUUCUGUCUCUUAUGACAAAGCAGAAAUAUAAAACACUGGGUUCUUAUCUAAAGUGUAUCAAAUCAGAUCUCCACCAUGUUGCUGCUGAGGACAUCAGGUGCUGCAGUUCUUCAUCUAUGAAGAUGAAAAAACUCACUGUUAAAGAAUGUUUUGUGUUGUGUAUGAAGCACAACAGAUUUCAGAUAGAACCGUUGUACUGUGGUCUUGGUUUGUAUCCUCAUGGUUAAAUGUACAUAUUUUACGUCCCUUCUGAUAAAAGUACUGAAAGAAAUACAACAUUGUAUAAAUAGAUAAAAUGUCUUUCUACCUCAUCAGUAAUAUUCAAGGUGAUAAUCUCCCACAGAGCUAUUGAUAGAAGUCCACAUCAAGUCUCUCGACUUCUCUCAGUGUGAAAACAUAAUUAUAUCAUUAAUUUGAGAACUGUUUACAACACUGAUGUUUGGAGAUUAAAAUCAUAUCUAAACUGUCUAAUUCACUGUAAAACUCCAUGACAUUCGCAGGCCAUCUGUACUUAAAAGACGAACCUGGAUUGAUCUGUCCAAAAAUCCAAAAGUCUCCCUACCCUCUCUAGUGCCCCUGAGCAAGGCACCUCACUCCCCCAACAUCUGCUCCGUGAGCGCCGUACAUGGUCGCUGACUGCUCUGUGUGUCCUGCACCAGAUGUUGUCUUCCAGUUGACCAGCAUGACGCUGCAGAUCUCCACCAUGUUGCUGCUGAGGACAUCAGGAGCUGCAUUAAUGAGGAGCAGAAGCGCACUGUUAUGAAUGUUUUGUGUUGUGUAUGAAGCACCACAUAUUUCAGAUAGAACCAAUGUACUGGGGUCUGGGUUUGUAUCCUAAUGGUUAAAUGCACAUACUUUAAAUCGCUUUUGAUAAAACGUGAGAAAGAAAUACAACAUUAUACACAUAGAUAAAAUGUCUUUCUACCUCAUCUGUAAUAUUCAAGGUGAUGAUCUCCCACAGAGCUGUUGAUAACAGUCCACAUCAAGUCUCUCCACUUCCCUCAGUGUGAAAACAUAAUUAUAUAAUUAACUGGAGAAGUGUUUACAACACUGAUGUGUGGACAUUAUAAUCUUAUCUAUACUGUCUAAUUGACUCUACAACUCCAUGACAGACUAAAUUAACAAUGUGAAAAUAGUAAUGGUGAAUAUAUCAGCCUGUAUCAGAAUAAUGGUGAAACAGUUAUUAUCACAUGCAACGUACACGUGUAGCGUAUUGAUAGUCACUUAUUAAAAAAAUAAAUAAAGUCACAACCAAAACAA
Pleuronectes platessa (European plaice) is the source of this 2028-nucleotide long non-coding RNA. RefSeq lists it as uncharacterized. The transcript is spliced from 3 exons. The record is from RefSeq and is a predicted model, not a curated record. Lineage: Eukaryota; Metazoa; Chordata; Actinopteri; Pleuronectiformes; Pleuronectidae.